GCCAUUGUUCCACUAUGCCUUCUAGAAGAUAGAUAUGGGACAGGCUUUCUUUUCUUACUGUGCAGCCACACUGAUGGACAUUGGGGGCUUUGAAGUUGUGUACAGAGAACAAGAAUCCACUUCAUCUUGUGUGAUGUCAGUUAUUUCUUCUUCUUUUCUCCUGCCUACCAUUUCAAGUCCUUCGCUGUGGAGAUCCGAGAACCUGCGGGAAGGAGGAAUCCAUCAAUUCCCUCUCAGGAGCUGUUUUUCAGGAGGAUCUCCUUGGAAGAUCCAAAUCAGGACACCUCAGGAGGGAAGAAUGGAAGAAAGUUGACUCCUCCUUAUGGUGGAGCUGAAACCGUGGUUGAACCUCCAACUCAACAAGAGGGUCUUGUGUUCUUCAGGGACGUGGCCGUAUGUUUCUCCGAGCGGGAGUGGUCUCAACUG
Molecule: non-coding RNA, 426 nt
Organism: Python bivittatus (Burmese python)
Lineage: Eukaryota; Metazoa; Chordata; Lepidosauria; Squamata; Pythonidae
Source: RefSeq, a predicted model, not a curated record